This 6623-nucleotide long non-coding RNA is filed under the name Mytilus galloprovincialis (Mediterranean mussel). Lineage: Eukaryota; Metazoa; Mollusca; Bivalvia; Mytilida; Mytilidae. The record is from RNAcentral.
CUUUAUCACCUUACUACUUUACCUUUGUAAACAUCACACACGUGGAUCAUGGCUAAUUUCAUUGUGAGACUUGCAGAACCAGGCGAUUGCGAACAGAUCGCAGACCUAAUAAAGGUAAGAUGAAAUAAACGCUAGAAAUCACUUAUCAGGUCUUCAGUAUUAAUAAACUUUCCUAUGCCAAGGUUUGCUUAUUAUCACCUCUUGUGUAAUUUAAUUACCUCCCUUUUUAGUAUCUAAAGUUUAUUUGCCGCGGAAUUUUGAUUUUUGUUUUAUGUAGUCAUGUGUCACCGUAUGAACUGUAAAAAAAUAGGAGCAUAUUAAUACAAAUGUGAGUAUGCCGUUAUGAUUUAUGUAAUAAUAAAAACCUUUUAAGGCAGAUUUACUUUUCAUAGUACCGCCACCUUGGUUUGUGCCUAGCUACAAUAGCAGUAUACAAUCGGGGCCACAAUUAAAAAUAUUUUGGUUUGCCCAAACCCUACCCAAAGGUUGAGACAGUGGGUAGGUAGGCAUUUUCUUUUUUUUUUUUUUUCAAAGAGAGAAAUUGAAGUAUCGGGUGUUUAUUAGUCUUCAUGCCUAUCUGAUAAAAAAAACUUCUUCAAAUCAGGACAAUAAAAGAAUUUGAGUAGGCAGCGUUUUUCUGAGUAGGUAGCGUUUGGGCAAACAAACCUAUUCUUUUUUAUGGCCCGGUCAAGUUCUUUGUAAAAAAAAAGGGGGGUAUACUGUUUUACCUCUGUCUGUCCAUCCAUCCAUCCUUCCGUCGUCAUUCCGUCAGUUCAUCAGUCUGUCAGUCCGUCCGUCCCAUGAAUAUUUUUCGUCGCAUUUUUCUCAGGAACUACAAUACAAGGAUUUCUGAAAUUUGGUUUCAGGGUUUAUGUAAGUGUGUUUUACCGUGUGAUGCGUUUUCAGAUUCAUCACUCGACAACUUCCUGUUUACCGAUCACUUUAAUCUUGUAUGAUUUUACACAUGAUAGCCAAGUUGAAAAUUUUCGUCACAUUUUUCUCAGGAACUACAAUACAAAGGAUUUCUGAAAUUUGGUUACAGGGUUUAUAUAAGUCAGCCAUACCGUGUGAUGCGUUUUCAGAUUCAUCACUCGACAACUUUCUGUUUACCGAUCACUUGUAUGAUUUUACACAUGAUAGCCAAGUUGAAAAUUUUCGUCACAUUUUUCUCAGGAACUACAAUACAAGGAUUUCUGAAAUUUGGUUUCAGGGUUUAUAUAAGUCAGCUAUACCGUGUGCUGCGUUUUCAGAUUCAUCACUUGACAACUUUCUGUUUACCGAACACUUGCAUAUUUUACACUAUUAAUAUUAUCCACUUGCGGCGGGGGUAUCAUCAGUGAGCAGUAGCUCGCAGUUUCACUUGUUAUAAUCAUAUUACAAGUUGACAUUUUUUGGGAGAUAACUCUUAUAGUACAAUGUUAUACUGGAAUGAUAGUGAAAUUUUAAUAUUUUACUUGUAACCAGAAAACAAGUUCGGUGGCACCAUUCUUAUUUUUUUAUUUUCUUAAAGCAUAUAAUAAAACCUAUCUUUCCAUAUUUUAUUUUAAAAUGUCAUAGCUUUUUUUACAUUCACACAACAGUUUUUUUAAUUAUGAUAUGUUAUUAAAAUAAAAUCAAUUCAAUUGGUUUGCAGGAACUUGCUGUAUACGAAAAAAUGGAGGAACAAGUGAAGAUCACUGCAGAUGGUGUGUAAUUGCAUUUUAAUCAUUUUAUACCUGUUCGGGGUGGGGGAUACCCCAACAUUUUAGCACUGAGGUGCACUUAGAAAUUGUAUAUUUUCUCAACCCAUUCGUGUUUGACAAAAGAAAGUAAUUUCUUCUGGUAAAUAUCUAGUUAAGCGGUUUACAACCCAUGCUCCUGUUACUUUAUUUUAUAUAAUAAAAAGCAUUUGGCAUUGAGCGACAAUUUAUUUGAUAUUAAGCAACACUGAGUUGUUAGGAUAACUCAAGCCAAUAUUUCGUUAAUAAAAAGACAAAAAAAGACAAACAUAUACAUAUAUUACAGCCUAUGAAUUUAAAUAAGUCAAGUGUUCUGUGCUCACUGCUGAUGUAUAAUAAUUGAUUCCGAUAUCACCAUCUACGAUGUUUAUAAUUCAUUUUCAAGCUUGCACAGUUACAGUAGCACGGAAUCUUUUAUCAAUUUUCUGCUGAUAUCUUUCUUCGAUGCAUCUACAUUCAAACUUAUUAUUCAUUCCUACCAAAUCAUUUGCGACAUGCAUGUGUUUGUCUUAAAUCUGAUUGAUCAUCAUUGAUGCAUAAAAAACUUUCCGAUGCACACUACAAUUUGAAAAAAAAGAGAUGCGAAGAAAUAGAUAAAAGAUGAACCUGAUAGAGAUUACAUUAACGUUUUGGUACAUUACAUCUGAUCCUUUAAUUAUUCAGAUAAAGUUUUCAAGAUAAUGGUAAACAAAAAUCUAAUGUUAGUUGACAAUGUAAAGGGCAACACGUUAAUAUGAUGGUGAUACGUCUGGUAACGCUUAUGGAUCUUGAAAGUAGUAUCUAUCGAGUCAAUAUAAUACUUCCAUGGAGAGAUAUUCUAAUAAUUUUGUCUGCGUCAUUUUCUUUUUUCUUCACAAUAUUGGACAUGCACAAUUCCCUGAAUUGCAUUAUAAUCAGAUUAAAAUCUUUUAUCUCAUUUUUGUUUUCAAACUGAAAUAGAAGAUUCUAAAUUCAAUCGCAAUAUCUUUAUAGUAAUACGUAAUAUAUAAUAAUUCCUUCAUGUCAUGGUGUAUACUCGUGGGUAGGCUUUAUAUUUAUAUUUGUAGAUAUUUUACACCGAGCGUAGUUUGAUCUUUUCGGCAUUUAACUGGGAGGUCAUGAAGAUUGGAGUGGCGAUUUUCUUCAUCUUGUGUUUUAUUUCUAAUUUUAUGUUUAUUUCCUAAAAAAAAAAAAUCAAAGCAAUCGGUUCUGCACUCCCUACAUCUACCUGUUUGGCAUUUUUUAAUUGGGCCCAUUUAAAUAAAAUUGAGAAUGGAAAUGGGGAAUGUGUCAAAGAGACAAUAACCCGACCAAAUAAAAAACAACAGCAGAGGGUCACCAACAGGUCUUCAAUGUAGCGAGAAAUUCCCGCACCCGGAGGCGUCCUUCAGCUGGCCCCUAAACAAAUAUAUACUAGUCCAGUGAUAAUGAACGCCAUACUAAUUUCCAAAUUGUACACAAGAAACUAAAAUUAAACAAUACAAGACUAACAAAGGCCAGAGGCUCCUGACUUGGGACAGGCGCAAAAAUGCGGCGGGGUUAAACAUGUUUGUGAGAUCUCAACCCUCCCCCUAUACCUCUAACCAAUGUAGAAAAGUAAACGCAUAACAAUACGCACAUUAAAAUUCAGUUCAAGAGAAGUCCGAGUCUGAUGUCAGAAGAUGUAACCAAAGAAAAUAAACAAAAUGACAAUAAUACAUAAAUAACAACAGACUACUGGCAGUUAACUGACAUGCCAGCUCCAGACUUCAAUUAAACUGACUGAAAGAUUAUGAUUUCAUCAUAUGAACAUCAGGCACAAUCCUUCCCGAUAGGAAAACCUUUGUGUACGUCUACUAGUCCCUUUUUCAUUUAUUUUUAAUUUUACACAAGGUAGGUGGGGAACACAUUUAUUUAUAAAUAUUUUACAUUGACUUUUAGUACAGGGAAACGGUUCUGAACUUUUACAGUGCUUAACCAAUACUGUCUGGAAUUUAUCAGUACUCAUAUAAAUGACCAUGAAAUGUGUAAGGGUAUAAUGAAAUUCAAGAGUAGGUCGGAAUGCAGGAAACAGAACUGAAUUAUCACUUUUUUUAAUUUGACCUUGGAAAAAGUUCGCGAACCGAAGCAAAAGUAUUUUAACAGAAGCUCUUAUAAAAUGUAAACAAUGAUAAAGCUAACAUGUGCAAACUAAAACCAUAUAAGGCCACUCAAAAUUAAAUAUUUGUCUUUAGAAGUUUAUUGUUGAAAAUUUAGUGCGAGCGCGCGUCAUUUAUUUUUAAUAUUUGUGUUUAAUAAAUUAAUAUUAAGCAAGCGAUGCCUAGACUGUAUGAGAUAAAGCGUUUUAAUUAAUUUUAUCCUAAAUAACUUCAGUUUUCAGGAGCAAGAAUUGAUAUUUUUACCGCAAUAUCAUUGUGUUUUUUUGUGAAUUGUGAAGCUAGCUAUUUCAUUUUACAAUAUAGCAUUACAUUUUGUACCAUGCUGCCAAUAGAGUUUAAGCGGAGCGAUAAAUCAGGGAGAUAUUUUAUUAGGAAUUUCUUUAGAGUAACCUUAUAUGUAUUAUACAAAACUAUUAAAGAAUGAAAAUUAAGCAUUUUUUUGAAAUCAAUACAUGUUUAUUGUAGUUUUUAUUAUUGAAAUCAAUACAUGUUUAUUGUAGUUUUGUUUAUUGAAAUCAAUACAUGUUUAUUGUAGUUUUUAUUAUUGAAAUCAAUACAUGUUUAUUGUAGUUUUGUUUAUUGAAAUCAAUACAUGUUUAUUGUAGUUUUGUUUAUUGAAAUCAAUACAUGUUUAUUGUAGUUUUGAGAACUGAUGGAUUUGGGGAAGAAAAGUUUUAUCAUUGUUUUGUAGCAGAACUAAAAGGUAAGUCUAUCGUUUUUUUUUAUUACUUACUCGAUGUUUACACAAACAGCCACCGAAGGACAUACACAAGUCACUAUAUAUUUUUUAACCAGGUUGACAGGCUUCAAAUGUAUCAAUCAAAUGUUAAAGAUAUCUAUUUUCAAGGACUUAACACCCAUUGAUGUAAUCGAGGCAAUUGCCUCAGUGAUUUAUUUUCAUAAUUAUAGUGGUUUAAGAAAAAAACACUAUACAAGUUUCAAAGCAUAUGUGAUAUUUUAUAUAAACCACUCCAAACAUUAGAUAAUUUGUAUACCAGAUUUGUGUGCAUAUUUCGACAUGAAAUGUUUUAUUCAUUAUGAUCGAGGCCAACAUAUAUAUAUUUGAAAUCCAAAACGCAUUAAAAUAUAAAGAGCUUUAUAUAACCCAAAAAAUACAAUACGUGUAGCAAAGCCUGACUAAGAGUCAUAGCAUUGCACUAGAAAGAUGUAAUAACAUCCACUCUAAACAUAUGUGGCACUUCAGGUAAACCCCUUCAAACAUAUGUGCUAAUUCAGAUAAUACUUCCAUGUUCAGAUCAACCACAAAAAAAUAAUAAUGUACUAUUUCAGAUAAACCACUACUAGUCGGGUAUGCUUUGUAUUAUUACUCCUACUCUACGUGGGAGGGUAGGAGUAUUUACAUGGAAGAUUUGUAUGUAAAACCGGAAUUUAGAGGGAAAGGAAUCGGAACACAACUUUGGAAAUCGGUUACAAAGGUAAUCCUGUGAUUCUCAAAAUGCGCGGAACAAUAUCCUAAAUGAAAUAGGAUUUUGAAAAUUAUUUAAGAUAAAGUGUAUGUAAGAAUAUUAUAUAAUAGUGUUCUUCGCCAUAUUUCCAGAUUUAUUGAAUACAACAGAGUUUAAAACUUAAAAAAUGAAAGAAUUAUAAAUUAAACAUUUACAUAAUGAAAUAUUGUUUUAUAAAUUAUAUCCUUUAUUCAUAAGAAUAUAUCGUAUGAUUAAAAUAAAAAAUUGGGUAAACGUCACACGAAAAGCAUCUUUUUAGCAAUACAAAGUAAAAAAAGAAACACCUUUAAACGACACCAAUAACAACAAUAUACAAUAUGUUUAGGUCAUAUUAGCCUCGACUUUAGUGAAGAACAAUUAAUACAAUUAAACAGAGACUCAAAGAUCUAACCAGCCUUUGCUCAUCUCAUCUCACACUCAGUUAUCUAACCAGCCUUUGCUCAUCUCAUCUCACACUCAGUUAUCUAACCAGCCUUUGCUCAUCUCAUCUCACACUCAGUUAUCUCAGUUAUCUAACCAGCCUAUGCUGAUCUCAUCUCACACUCAGUUAUAUAACCAGCAUUUGCUCACCUCAUCUCACACUCAGUUAUCUAACCAGCCUUUGCUCAUCUCAUCUAACACUCAGUUAUCUAACCAGCCUUUGCUCAUCUCAUCUCACACUCAGUUAUCUAACCAGCCUUUGUCUAUUUUAUCUCAGAAACUCAAUGAUACAUUUAUAACCAGAAUUCGUCCAUCUUAUCACAGAAACUUUAAAGAUUUAACCAGCAUGUGUCGAACUCCGAAACAGCGGUUAUGUCCUCUUUACUACGCUACGUUGAUAGUUUAGCGAAGCAACGUCACCACUGUUUCGGAGUUUGAGCAUGUGUCCGCCUUGUCUCGGAACCAGUCUACAAUGAUCAUCCAGCCUUCGUUCAUCUGAUCUCAGAUUCUAAGUGAUAAAAUAAGAUGUACAUGGAAUGCCGUAAUACUUGAAACCGUUAUAAUAUAGAUGCAACUACUUAUCAUAUAGAAAAUGCUAGUUGUCUCUGUAAACAAGGUCGAUGUGCUCACUUAACGUCUAAUCUCAUGCAUUCAGCAUUUACCCAUAGCAAAUUGUGUUUUACGCAUUUAAAACAAAAUAAGCGUUCUAUAAACACGUUUUAGAAAUUCUAGAUUUUUUUUAUAACCGUAGUUAAAUCGAAAAAAAAACAUUCAUUCCUUUUUUAAAUUUCAGGUAGGAAUCGAGAAGCCACUACACGAAAAGGCAGAUUUACAACAAUUUGGGCAAUCAUGUAAAUGUUUGACAAAUGUAACUACUUUUCUGCCAGAUAUAUUUGCGGACC